AACUUUCAGCAACGGAUCUCUUGGCUCUGGCAUCGAUGAAGAACGCAGCGAAUGCGAUAAGUAAUGUGAAUUGCAGAAUUUAGUGAAUCAUCGAAUCUUUGAACGCACAUUGCGCCCCUUGGUAUUCCGAGGGGCAUGCCUGUUCGAGCGUCAU
This 154-nucleotide ribosomal RNA is filed under the name Oidium heveae. RNAcentral's name for it is "5.8S ribosomal RNA". It matches the Rfam family "5.8S ribosomal RNA". From Rfam's summary of the family: 5.8S ribosomal RNA (5.8S rRNA) is a component of the large subunit of the eukaryotic ribosome. It is transcribed by RNA polymerase I as part of the 45S precursor that also contains 18S and 28S rRNA. The record is from RNAcentral. Lineage: Eukaryota; Fungi; Ascomycota; Leotiomycetes; Helotiales; Erysiphaceae.